RNAcentral lists this ribosomal RNA (497 nucleotides) under uncultured bacterium. RNAcentral's name for it is "partial 16S ribosomal RNA". It matches the Rfam family "Bacterial small subunit ribosomal RNA", at positions 28 to 507 of the family's 1533-position model. The record is from RNAcentral.
GAUGAACGCUGGCGGCGUGCCUAAUACAUGCAAGUCGAGCGAACAGAUGAGGAGCUUGCUCCUCUGACGUUAGCGGCGGACGGGUGAGUAACACGUGGAUAACCUACCUAUAAGACUGGGAUAACUUCGGGAAACCGGAGCUAAUACCGGAUAAUAUAUUGAACCGCAUGGUUCAAUAGUGAAAGACGGUUUUGCUGUCUCUUAUAGAUGGAUCCGCGCCGCAUUAGCUAGUUGGUAAGGUAACGGCUUACCAAGGCAACGAUGCGUAGCCGACCUGAGAGGUGGAUCGGCCACACUGGAACUGAGACACGGUCCAGACUCCUACGGGAGGCAGCAGUAGGGAAUCUUCCGCAAUGGGCGAAAGCUUGACGGAGCAACGCCGCGUGAGUGAUGAAGGUCUUCGGAUCGUAAAACUCUGUUAUUAGGGAAGAACAAAUGUGUAAGUAACUAUGCACGGCUUGACGGUACCUAAUCAGAAAGCCACGGCUAACUACGUG